Molecule: transfer RNA, 68 nt
Filed under: Virgulibracon endoxylaphagus
Lineage: Eukaryota; Metazoa; Arthropoda; Insecta; Hymenoptera; Braconidae
Description: tRNA-Ser
Source: RNAcentral
AGAUAAUGAACUUGUUAUAGUAUAUAUUUUGAAAAUAUAAAAAAGAAACUUAAAUUUUCUAUUAUCUU